This 1557-nucleotide ribosomal RNA is filed under the name human gut metagenome. RNAcentral's name for it is "bacterial LSU rRNA". It matches the Rfam family "Bacterial large subunit ribosomal RNA", at positions 445 to 1988 of the family's 2925-position model. The record is from RNAcentral.
UGGGGGGACCAUCCUCCAAGGCUAAAUACUCCUGAUUGACCGAUAGUGAACCAGUACUGUGAAGGAAAGGCGAAAAGAACCCCGGUGAGGGGAGUGAAAUAGAACCUGAAACCUUGUACGUACAAGCAGUGGGAGCCCUUUAAGGGUGACUGCGUACCUUUUGUAUAAUGGGUCAGCGACUUAUAUUUUGUAGCGAGGUUAACCGAAUAGGGGAGCCGAAGGGAAACCGAGUCUUAACUGGGCGUUAAGUUGCAGGGUAUAGACCCGAAACCCGGUGAUCUAGCCAUGGGCAGGUUGAAGGUUGGGUAACACUAACUGGAGGACCGAACCGACUAAUGUUGAAAAAUUAGCGGAUGACUUGUGGCUGGGGGUGAAAGGCCAAUCAAACCGGGAGAUAGCUGGUUCUCCCCGAAAGCUAUUUAGGUAGCGCCUCGUGAAUUCAUCUCCGGGGGUAGAGCACUGUUUCGGCAAGGGGGUCAUCCCGACUUACCAACCCGAUGCAAACUGCGAAUACCGGAGAAUGUUAUCACGGGAGACACACGGCGGGUGCUAACGUCCGUCGUGAAGAGGGAAACAACCCAGACCGCCAGCUAAGGUCCCAAAGUCAUGGUUAAGUGGGAAACGAUGUGGGAAGGCCCAGACAGCCAGGAUGUUGGCUUAGAAGCAGCCAUCAUUUAAAGAAAGCGUAAUAGCUCACUGGUCGAGUCGGCCUGCGCGGAAGAUGUAACGGGGCUAAACCAUGCACCGAAGCUGCGGCAGCGACACUAUGUGUUGUUGGGUAGGGGAGCGUUCUGUAAGCCUGUGAAGGUGGCCUGUGAGGGUUGCUGGAGGUAUCAGAAGUGCGAAUGCUGACAUAAGUAACGAUAAAGCGGGUGAAAAGCCCGCUCGCCGGAAGACCAAGGGUUCCUGUCCAACGUUAAUCGGGGCAGGGUGAGUCGGCCCCUAAGGCGAGGCUGAAAAGCGUAGUCGAUGGGAAACGGGUUAAUAUUCCCGUACUUGGAUAAACUGCGAUGUGGGGACGGAGCAGGUUAGGUUAUCGCACUGUUGGAUAUGUGCGUUUAAGUUGGUAGGUGUGAAGUUUAGGCAAAUCCGGACUUCUAUAACACCGAGAGAUGAUGACGAGGCUCUACGGAGCUGAAGUAACCGAUACCACACUUCCAGGAAAAGCCACUAAGCUUCAGGUUUAUCUAAACCGUACUGAAAACCGACACAGGUGGUCAGGUAGAGAAUACUCAGGCGCUUGAGAGAACUCGGGUGAAGGAACUAGGCAAAAUAGCACCGUAACUUCGGGAGAAGGUGCGCCGGCGUAGAUUGUAGUCCCUUGCGGGCGAAGGUUGAACCGGUCGAAGAUACCAGCUGGCUGCAACUGUUUAUUAAAAACACAGCACUCUGCAAACACGAAAGUGGACGUAUACGGUGUGACGCCUGCCCGGUGCCGGAAGGUUAAUUGAUGGGGUUAGCGGCAACGCGAAGCUCUUGAUCGAAGCCCCGGUAAACGGCGGCCGUAACUAUAACGGUCCUAAGGUAGCGAAAUUCCUUGUCGGGUAAGUUCCGACC